RNAcentral lists this long non-coding RNA (3721 nucleotides) under Sus scrofa (pig). RNAcentral's name for it is "lncRNA (ENSSSCG00000059033.1)". The record is from RNAcentral. Lineage: Eukaryota; Metazoa; Chordata; Mammalia; Artiodactyla; Suidae.
ACUGGAAACUGCGCUCAUGUCACCUGCAGCAUAAUCCAUGGCAUUCUUCACACCACCCUGCCAUGUCUUGCCUCAUACCGCGCUUUUGUUUCAUGUAUUAACAUACAGCAAUUUAGUAACUUGCUUCAUUGUUGCAAUCCAUUGUCUUCCCCAUGACAAUAGAACUGAUUUUUUUUAAAAUAUUAGAAUGGAUGGACCUAACCCAAUGGAGUCACUUUGAAGGAAAUAAUAUAUCACAACCAUAUAUUUGUACUUGUAUGAUGUUAUCAUUGCUCAAAACACUUUUCUAAUUCAGACAUCUUUCUUUGUGAUCACAUCUUAAAUGCCUCUAAUCUUCAAUACACCUAAAUUCUUAGAAAGCAGAAACUGGGUCAGGUACUCCUUUGUUAAAGCUCUACACGCAGACCAGAGACACACGGAAGUAAAGUUAAGGAGUGAUGAACCGGGAUGAGACAUGACAAAGGGACCAGCACACAGAGGUGGGGCAUCAGGGGAUGGGAUCUGGCAGAGAAGUGACACCAGGGAAGCCGUUGAAGGCGGGCACGUUUUCCGGGAGGAGGAGACGAUUAAGUCUGCACCACACUACUUCAGCCAAAUUCCCCAUGACAUCCGCAACUCCACCAGGUUCUGUUUGGCUCAUCAGGGAUCCCUUGAAAGACGGGGGCUCUCAGGAGAAAUAAAGUGAAAAGUAUUUCUUCUCCUUGGUCUCAGAUCCUUGACCGGAGCAGAAACCUGGAGCCUCUGUGGGAAGACCUGUAAGCAGGUUCUCGGCUUAGCUAUACUUUGUGCAGAAUAUAAACUUGAAGACAAGCAUUCUUGAGCACUGUAUUCUCUCUGUAUGCCUAGCACUUCUAUGGUGCUGGCACAUAGUAGGCACUCACUGAAUGUUUGUUGAAUGAAUGAAUGUUAGCAAGUCAGAGCCUUCUAGAAGCAGGCAAUAUUCUUUCUGUCUCACUCUCUAGGCCGUGAGUACUGAUAGACUGACUUGACCUGAAGGUGUGAGCUAGAUGCAUUCUUACUUGAAUGAAUACUAUCAUUUCCUUGAAAGCUUGUGCGCUGACAAACCAGUUCCCUGGUGUAAAUGUAAGACAAUUAAAGGACAGAACUGAAGCGAAUGGAGUAAGAACCUAUCGUUUUGAAUGAGCUUCUCUCGUUUCUGACAAUAGGUUUUGAUUAAACCAAAUGUUUGAAUAUUUAAAUAAAUAUUUAAAUGCACAUUUAAGUAUUUAAAUAGCAGUUACAAGAAAUAUGUUAUUUCAAUUUGGGCAAAGGCAGCAGACAGCUGAGACAAGAAACCACACAGUGACAUGCAAAACCCAGGAGCAGGAUGUGUUUCCCACGCUAUGCUGUGACAUGGAGCACUGGGCCAAGUAGGUUUCAGCCUUUAUCCCUUUGUCUAAACUCAUUGCUGACACCUGGUAAAUUUGAAAAGUCUUAACUGAUUUCCAAGAAAUUUUGAGUACUACAUUGAUUUUGUUGGUUUAUGAUUUGGUAUUUUUUUAAUGCUGCAGCUGCUUUGCUCUUACAAUUUUUUUUUCUUUUUGUCUUUUGUCUUUUUAGGACACACCCAUGGCAUAUGGAGGUUCCCAGGCUAGGGGUUGAAUCGGAGUUACAGCUGCCGGCCUACGGCAGAGCUACAGCCACAGCAACGCGGGAUCCAAGCCACAUCUUCUAACUACACCACAGCUCACGGCAAUGCCAGAUCCUUAACCCACUGAGCAAAGCCAGGGAUCGAACCUGCAACCUCAUGGUUCCUAGUCAGAUUUGUUUCCACUGUGCCACAACGGGAACUUCUGCUCUUACAAAUUUGAUGCAACACAACAAAAGAAAACAUUUUUUCACUAGCACUGAAUUUUAGUAAAAUGCGUAAAAUUUGAUUUAUAUAGGCAUCAAGACUACUCCUAGUAACAAAUGUUCCAAAAAUGUAUCCCUUUAAUUGUAGAUAAAUGCGGAUAAACACAUUCUAUAUGGUUUUGAAGCCAAGCAAUCCACAACUCAUUCAGAACUGAUGUUUGCUUGGAAUAUAAUCCCAGUGGAAAGCCAUGUUUAAAUAAUAAAAGUAUUUUCCUGUGAAGCUUUUGAUAAAGGCUAAAGAAAAUAACUUGUAUUUAUACAGCUAAAGCAGAAAUAUUUUAAAAUGCUUUUUAGGGUAGCUGCUUAGUGACUUUUACUUCUAAAUUCUGAAUUCAUUUUUAGAACUCUACUCCAAAAACAGAGAUUGUCAAGUGCUUCUGGCUGUAGGUUGUGGUUGCAUUUGGCUAGGUUUCUUCAAAGACAGGAAGCAUAAGAAACCAUUGACUCAGACAAAGGCACCACCCUAGGUUCUUGAGACCCACAGUGAGUUAGAGAACCAAGCCCAGUGCUCUCCCUGGGAGCAGUCCUGCUAUCAUUGGGGGACCGUCCAGCUACCCAGCUUUCCACUCACCUCUGAAAGACCUCAGGGCCAAUCCCAUCACACCUCACACCCACGAUCCCCAUGCCCUCACCUCCCCACUGCUCCCUCUAUGCCUAAUUCUGACCUAUUCUUUCCUUUGCAAAUCCUUCAAAUGGAUGCUUGGACCUUUCGAUCAGCAACCCUCCCUGUAUCCUCUCUUCUUCUCAUGUCCCAAAUGAAAACUUAGCUCUCUCCUUGGAAACUCUCUGGCCUCUGCCUUCUCAGCCCUCUGCAGCUCCAGGUUCCAUUAGGGGUCUUUUGGGUUCCAAGUGCCACUUCCAAACCAUUAUUCACUUAUUCUUGAUCCUGAGAAAUCCCUGACUCCUUCUCCCUCUCCUCGCCACUGACAUCUCUUCAGGUUAUAAUCAUGUCCUUCAUUUUGUGAAGAACUCAGCUCCCAGCCAUGGAAACCCUUGGCACCCUAACUCAUUAUCAUCCUUUUUCACUUCAUAUGGUCUUUAACAAACACAUGAAGGAAGGAAAAAUAUAUGCAAGAUGUUCAAUGUGACCAGCUUCAAGCAAACACAAAUUAAAACAAAGCCCAUCAAGUUCAAUACUAGCAAAUUUUCUAAUUAUAAGCUGAAUAAUAUUGAGUUCGUUGCAGAGGUGGAAACAUGAGAAUUCUCACACACGAAUGGGACUGUACAUUGGUCCAGCCACAGAAGAGAUUUUGCUGUAAAAGCCACAUUGGAGAUAAGUAUAUCCAGAAAUACUACUUUUAGAUACAUGUACAUGGACACAAAAUUGGAAAGUUGAUUUCAUUAUUGUUCACAUCUUGAACAACCCAAAUGUCCAUCAAGAGAUGAAUGGGGAAUUAGUUGUGGCUUCUUAACACACGGAAAUAAUAUGUAGCAAUUAAAGUACAUAUACAAAAAAUAAAAACAUGAAUUUGGAUAAAAGUUAUCACUGGGGUAAGAAAGAGGAUGGUAGGACUGCAGAUGGGUACAAAUGUCUUCAUCUGUAUCUAUUACUAUAUUUUAUUUAUUACAUUAAAAAAGACAUGUAGGAGUACCACGGUGACUCAGCAGGUUAAGGAUCAGCAUUGUCGCUGCUGUGGCUCUGAUCGCUGCUAUGGCUCAGGUUUAAUCUCUGGCCCCAGAAUUUCUGAAAGCCAUAGAUAUAGCCAAAAUAAAAAAGGAAAGGGACAACAGUAAUUAACACAACAUGAUAGGAGUUCCCGUCGUGGCAUAGGGGAAACGAAUCCCACUAGGAACCAUGAGGUUGAAGGUUCAAUCCCUGGCCUCACUCAGUGGGUUAAUGAUCUGGCAUUGCCAUGAACUGUGGUGU